Molecule: ribosomal RNA, 320 nt
Filed under: Calliobdella lophii
Lineage: Eukaryota; Metazoa; Annelida; Clitellata; Hirudinida; Piscicolidae
Description: partial 12S ribosomal RNA
Source: RNAcentral
UUUUAUUUAUAAAUUAAAUUAAUAAAGUUGGAUAUUAAAAACAAUAGUUCUAAAUCCAAAAAAUUUGGCGGUACUUUAAUAAAUCAGGGGAACUUGCAAUUUAAAUCGAUAACCCACGAUAAUCUUACUUUUAUUAGAAACUCAGUUAGUGUAUUGCCGUAUUAAUAUAAAUUUAUAAUUUUAUAUAAUUAAGAUAAUUAAUCUUUUACAACAGGUCAAAGUGCAGCUUAUAUAAAAAUGGUAUAAGUGAGUUACAUUAUUAAAAUAAUAUAAAUUAUAAUUAUUAAAAUUAUAUGAAAAUGGACUUGAUAGUAAUUAUA